UCGUAACAAGGUUUCCGUAGGUGAACCUGCGGAAGGAUCAUUAUUGAUUGGUCGAAAGACCUUAUCAGAUUCUACCACCUCUGUGAACCGUUGACCUCCGGGUUAAUAAUCAAACAUCAGUGUAACGAACGUAAGAGUAUCUUAAUUAAACAAAACUUUUAACAACGGAUCUCUUGGCUCUCGCAUCGAUGAAGAACGCAGCGAAAUGCGAUAAGUAAUGUGAAUUGCAGAAUUCAGUGAAUCAUCGAAUCUUUGAACGCACCUUGCGCCUUUUGGUAUUCCGAAAGGCAUGCCUGUUUCAGUGUCAUGAAAUCUCAAUCUAAUAUGUUUUCUGAACAUGUUAGGCUUGGACUUGGGUGUCUGCCAGCAAUGGCUCACCUCAAAUGACUUAGUGGAACAUCCCACAUCAGUGUUAGACGUAAUAAGUUUCGUCUCUCCUUGUGGUGAUGACUGCUCAAAACCUGCCAUCGCGCACCUUUUGACUUUGACCUGAAAUCAGGUAGGGCUACCCGCUGAACCUAAGCAUAUC
This 529-nucleotide unclassified non-coding RNA is filed under the name Papiliotrema flavescens. Its description in RNAcentral is "sequence contains 18S rRNA gene, ITS1, 5.8S rRNA gene, ITS2, 28S rRNA gene". The stretch from base 154 to 307 matches the Rfam family "5.8S ribosomal RNA". Lineage: Eukaryota; Fungi; Basidiomycota; Tremellomycetes; Tremellales; Rhynchogastremaceae. The record is from RNAcentral.